Molecule: ribosomal RNA, 253 nt
Filed under: uncultured bacterium
Lineage: Bacteria
Description: partial 16S ribosomal RNA
Rfam family: Bacterial small subunit ribosomal RNA
Source: RNAcentral
UACGUAGGGGGCUAGCGUUGCUCGGAAUCACUGGGCGUAAAGGGUGCGUAGGCGGGCCUUUAAGUCAGGGGUGAAAUCCUGGAGCUCAACUCCAGAACUGCCUUUGAUACUGAGGAUCUUGAGUUCGGGAGAGGUGAGUGGAACUGCGAGUGUAGAGGUGAAAUUCGUAGAUAUUCGCAAGAACACCAGUGGCGAAGGCGGCUCACUGGCCCGAUACUGACGCUGAGGCACGAAAGCGUGGGGAGCAAACAGG